GUUAAUAAACGAGUUUAUUGUAAAUUAUGCUCCAUUGGUCUUUUUGUGGUUUUCUACCCACCUUUAUCUCCGUGACGGUGAGAUGUCGUGAUGUUCUUACUGGGCUAGUGUAGCUCACUCCUUAAUUAACCAUUUCAGAUCAGGAAGACAUGGUUCCCGAGCCCGUUCCACAGGAGGACGACGAAGGGGAUGCCUAGAGACUCUGUAGUCAUACGCAUAGUUUAUUUUCGAGUUUUCUUUCUUAGUUAGUUUAACCUUUUAUAUUUUAAGUACGUUUGUUUGGUUUUUCGUGUA
RNAcentral lists this long non-coding RNA (294 nucleotides) under Carica papaya (papaya). RNAcentral's name for it is "long non-coding RNA (CPAP_LNC014119)". Lineage: Eukaryota; Viridiplantae; Streptophyta; Magnoliopsida; Brassicales; Caricaceae. The record is from RNAcentral.